This 17-nucleotide microRNA is filed under the name Macrophomina phaseolina MS6. Its description in RNAcentral is "miR-1281". The record is from RNAcentral. Lineage: Eukaryota; Fungi; Ascomycota; Dothideomycetes; Botryosphaeriales; Botryosphaeriaceae.
UCUCCGCCUCCUCUCCC